This 67-nucleotide transfer RNA is filed under the name Pholas orientalis. Its description in RNAcentral is "tRNA-Ala". The record is from RNAcentral. Lineage: Eukaryota; Metazoa; Mollusca; Bivalvia; Myida; Pholadidae.
GGUCUAAUAGUUUAAUGAAAAUAUUGGUUUUGCAUACCAAUGUUAGGUUUAGGUAACCUUUAUACCA